RNAcentral lists this ribosomal RNA (253 nucleotides) under uncultured bacterium. RNAcentral describes it as "partial 16S ribosomal RNA". It matches the Rfam family "Bacterial small subunit ribosomal RNA", at positions 524 to 776 of the family's 1533-position model. The record is from RNAcentral.
UACGUAGGGUGCAAGCGUUGUCCGGAAUUAUUGGGCGUAAAGAGCCCGUAGGCGGUUUGUUGCGUCGGCUGUGAAGACCUGAGGCUCAACCUCAGGCCUGCAGUCGAUACGAGCAGACUAGAGUGUUGCAGGGGAGACUGGAAUUCCUGGUGUAGCGGUGAAAUGCGCAGAUAUCAGGAGGAACACCGGUGGCGAAGGCGGGUCUCUGGGCCGAUACUGACGCUGAGGAGCGAAAGCGUGGGGAGCGAACAGG